CCAAUCUAGAGUAUCGGAGAGGAAAGUGGAAUUCCUAGUGUAGCGGUGAAAUGCGUAGAUAUUAGGAAGAACACCAGUGGCGAAGGCGACUUUCUGGACGAAAACUGACGCUGAGGCGCGAAAGCCAGGGGAGCGAACGGGAUUAGAUACCCCGGUAGUCCUGGCCGUAAACGAUGGGUACUAGGUGUAGGAGGUAUCGACCCCUUCUGUGCCGGAGUUAACGCAAUAAGUACCCCGCCUGGGGAGUACGACCGCAAGGUUGAAACUCAAAGGAAUUGACGGGGGCCCGCACAAGCGGUGGAGUAUGUGGUUUAAUUCGACGCAACGCGAAGAACCUUACCAGGUCUUGACAUUGAUGGACAGAACCAGAGAUGGUUCCUCUUCUUCGGAAGCCAGAAAACAGGUGGUGCACGGUUGUCGUCAGCUCGUGUCGUGAGAUGUUGGGUUAAGUCCCGCAACGAGUGCAACCCCUAUCUUAUGUUGCCAGCACUUUGGGUGGGGACUCAUGAGAGACUGCCGCAGACAAUGCGGAGGAAGGCGGGGAUGACGUCAAAUCAUCAUGCCCCUUAUGACCUGGGCUACACACGUACUACAAUGGGAGUUAAUAGACGGAAGCGAAACCGCGAGGUGGAGCAAACCCGAGAAACACUCUCUCAGUUCGGAUCGUAGGCUGCAACUCGCCUACGUGAAGUCGGAAUCGCUAGUAAUCGCAGGUCAGCAUACUGCGGUGAAUACGUUCCCGGGCCUUGUACACACCGCCCGUCACACCACGAAAGUCGGAAGUGCCCAAAGCCGGU
This 797-nucleotide ribosomal RNA is filed under the name uncultured bacterium. RNAcentral describes it as "bacterial SSU rRNA". It matches the Rfam family "Bacterial small subunit ribosomal RNA", at positions 636 to 1431 of the family's 1533-position model. The record is from RNAcentral.